AUUUAAAAUAUAUGAUAUUAAAUCUUGUAUGAAGAGGAUCAAUCCAUAUAGAUUUGAAAGCCUGGUGAAUAUAUGUCUAAAGUACUCCUCCAUGCACAGAAAAUUUUUUAUCUUCAGUGACAAAUCUUUCACACGAUUCAGAAGGAUUCUGUUCUAGAUAGAAAUAAAGGAAAAUAAAUUAGGAAUAGCCAAUGGAUUUUCCGUAAGUAAGAAAGGAGGGAAAUUAAUCUCAUGAAUGAUUCACUGCAAAUUACUCACUGAGCUCAACCAUACUCAAGGAAAUUGAUAGUCAAAAUAAUUGACUAUAAUUCUAUUAAUUUUUUCUUGCUUAUUCAGUGUGAAAAAAAUAUAUACUCUACAGUAGUGCUGCUCUGAAUAUCUUUAUUUGGAUGCAAGAGGAAAUUCUGGUGCUAUGUGCUCCUGAGGGGAAAAUAAAGCAAUUUGACAAGCAGCAAUAAUAGGAUUUUUCUGAUGCUUACACAUGCAUCAUGCUGAAAAGGACUUUUAUCUGAUGCUCUCUGCAAAUAUUUAUUGUCUUUAUCCUGCAACAAACUGAUGUUGAUGUGUUCAACACUAAAUAGAAAUUUUUCCAAUUGAAUGUAUGCCUGCUACAUUUAUUGGAGGAUACUUGGUGAUUCUCACAGUCCUUGUAAAGCAGAAAGAAAUAAGGUUCCUGGUGUGAUGUCAUCCAGAAAAAAAAUAUGGAAGAUUCAGUCAGGACUGAAUUAUGGAGAAGUCACGACCACUAUGGAGAGGAGCUGUGAAACAUACGUUACAUUUGUCAUAAAACAGAGCCAUUCCUGUUUGAGGAAUGAAAGUAUUUGUUACAGGAUGAAAUGAGCAGUUGUACAAUACAGACUUAGGAACUUUUAGAUCACAUAUUAUUUGAAAUAUCUUUGAGAGCUGUGUAUAGCUGAAUUUCUUGCUACUCAGUCAUCAGAUAUGCAGAUGUGAUUACAAGCGUGUAUUAAACUAAUCAUAACUAAGAAUUUAGAUUUCAAAAUGUCUGUUCUCAUGGAAGCACACUGGUAAGUUAUACUGAAGAGAGUGUCUAUGGUAAAAUCACUACUGGCAAAGAUGCAUGAGAAUAUUUUUAAUAUGCAAUUAAAAACU
Long non-coding RNA from Passer domesticus (house sparrow), 1113 nucleotides. RefSeq lists it as uncharacterized. The record is from RefSeq and is a predicted model, not a curated record. NCBI's taxonomy places the organism in Eukaryota, Metazoa, Chordata, Aves, Passeriformes, Passeridae. The transcript has 3 exons.